Molecule: ribosomal RNA, 332 nt
Filed under: uncultured eukaryote
Lineage: Eukaryota
Description: partial 18S ribosomal RNA
Rfam family: Eukaryotic small subunit ribosomal RNA
Source: RNAcentral
CCCUUAGAUGUCCUGGGCUGCACGCGCGCUACACUGGAAGUUACGGAUUGAGAUACUACCUUGUCCGAAAUGGUCCGGGUAAUCACCUAAAAGCUUGUCAUAAUUGGAAUGGAUUAUUGUAACUAGUAAUCCUGAACGAGGAAUUCCUAGUAAGUCCCAGUCAACAGCUGGUACUGAUUACGUCCCUGCCCUUUGUACACACCGCCCGUCGCUACUACCGAUUGGAUGGUUUAGUGAGAUCCUCGGAUUGGUCCCGGCGCGGCCUCUGGUCGUGCCGGAGUGCCGAAAAGAAUGUCGAACUUGAUCAUCUAGAGGAAGUAAAAGUCGUAACA